Molecule: ribosomal RNA, 492 nt
Filed under: uncultured bacterium
Lineage: Bacteria
Description: partial 16S ribosomal RNA
Rfam family: Bacterial small subunit ribosomal RNA
Source: RNAcentral
AGUGAACGCUGGCGGUAGGCCUAACACAUGCAAGUCGAACGGCAGCACAGUAAGAGCUUGCUCUUACGGGUGGCGAGUGGCGGACGGGUGAGGAAUACAUCGGAAUCUACUUUUUCGUGGGGGAUAACGUAGGGAAACUUACGCUAAUACCGCAUACGACCUACGGGUGAAAGCAGUGGAUCUUCGGACCUUGCGCGAUUGAAUGAGCCGAUGUCGGAUUAGCUAGUUGGCGGGGUAAAGGCCCACCAAGGCGACGAUCCGUAGCUGGUCUGAGAGGAUGAUCAGCCACACUGGAACUGAGACACGGUCCAGACUCCUACGGGAGGCAGCAGUGGGGAAUCUUGGACAAUGGGCGCAAGCCUGAUGCAGCCAUGCCGCGUGGGUGAAGAAGGCCUUCGGGUUGUAAAGCCCUUUUGUUGGGAAAGAAAAGCAGCAGGUUAAUACCCGGCUGUUCUGACGGUACCCAAAGAAUAAGCACCGGCUAACUUCGUG